CCUGAAGUGUACACUCUCGUUCGCUUCUUCCUACAAAUCUAAAAUCAUUGCAUUGGUGGAGGCAUGGGCUAGAGAGGAAUAUGCUACCAAAUAGCACCUUAUUCCCUAAUGUAGGCCUACUUUUAAGGAAUGCACUAUAAGGAAUAGAUCAAUCAACUGGCUCACUAAAUGGGGUACCGAAAUAUAUCCAAAAGAGGUCGACACGAAAUUAGACUAGGUUUAUUUCUGUUUUGACCUGCUGAGUCGCAGUGCUUAGUGAACAGAUUUCAAUGUGGGCCUAGCUGUAUCGAAAACGGUUGAUGGGGAAAGUGUGUAAUCUGAUCAAUAUAUUUCCCCCCCAAUAUUAAUGAGAGAAUGGGAAUGUGCAUAAAGGUCUAACAUUCCAUGACGUGGUAUGAAGUUCUUAAUUCGUCAGUGGCUGCAAUAUUGUCCUCAGUAAACUCAACAUGAGUGAAAACAACACAGACAAGGACAAGUUUUUCGAGAUAUAAAAAAUACUGUAUGCUAUUAUGGAUGAAGAAAAGGUAGGUUAAAUGACACGAAAUAUUUGGGAAUGUAACUAAGGAAAACGUCAUUUAAGAUAACAUAGGCUAUUGCAAAACAAAUGUCUAAUUCUCUCUAUUAAGUCAAUCACCAGUUUAGCUCUGAUAUGGCUGUAGCUCUAUGAUGUCCUUUGCAAGAAUCUAAUCUGACAUUGACAUGAAAUUCCUAUGUCCUUCAGGUAGUACAGAGAGAUGAUGAUGAUCCCCAGAGGGAGUUGAGGGGGGUUGUUGAGGAAGAACCAGUGGCCCAGCUCAAGAAGGAGCCCAAGAAGACAGGAAAGGUGAAGAGGAAAAGUAGUGCCAAGAAGUCAGGGGAGCAGGGCACUGAUACGGAUGCAGGAUUGAGGAAUAAACACCCGGACAGAGGAUCUGUUAUUGAGCUCUUGGAGAAGAAUGCUCUUAAGGCUGCAUUCGGCCCAGGCAACAAAGAUGAGAUGGAGGACUGCUACCCAAUCCUCAUCUCAUUCAUGCGCAAUCUUACUGAUGAGCAAUGGCAAGUGAUCUAUAAAGGAUUUAAAAAACCUAUGACAAAGGAACAGCUUGCAAAAUUGUGCAAGACCAUUGUCAACUUCAUUGCACAGACCACCCUGCAGAUCCUGCUGCCGGCCCUGGCCCGCAUUCUAGGGGUGACGGGCUUUUAUGACAACGCUGACUCACUCAAGAGGGGUGGCAGUGCAAGAUCCUUCACUGCCUUUGAGCAGAAAAGACUGGAGCUCAUCCAGGAAGUUAAAUAUUUGGCGAAGUAACUGUGGCGGCAGGGCUCUCCGACCAAGGUCUAGCACACCCUCUUCCAAGAGUUCCCAGACCUCACUGAAAGUCCACCUGGGAAUGCCAGAGGACAGUAUCAUCAGCAGUGUCCAGGAGCAACUGUCAAAAUCUGACCAAAUGGUGGCUGCAGGACAGCUUUCACAAAUAGAUAAAGUGGUUGGAACUAUGCUGGAGAACAUUGAGAAGAUAAGCAGCGAAUGUGGCGAGGAAUUGGUCUAUCAAGAGUCACUGCGGUCUUCCUCCUCGUUGUCAUUCUCAACUGCCAAAUCACAGAAGACAGAGUGGGAAUUUGCACUCCCUGGCACUCCCAUUCCUUCUGAGUUACCCGAGAGUACUGCUCAGCCCAUUGUAAGAUGUUCAGUCAUUGACAUGAGCGAAUCUACUAAGCCAAAAACAAUGGUGUGUGAUGCCAGAACAAGCAUGUUUGCCA
This is a non-coding RNA of Oncorhynchus mykiss (rainbow trout), 1740 nucleotides long. The record is from RefSeq and is a predicted model, not a curated record. NCBI's taxonomy places the organism in Eukaryota, Metazoa, Chordata, Actinopteri, Salmoniformes, Salmonidae.